Non-coding RNA from Chelonoidis abingdonii (Abingdon island giant tortoise), 95 nucleotides. NCBI's taxonomy places the organism in Eukaryota, Metazoa, Chordata, Testudines, Testudinidae. The record is from RefSeq and is a predicted model, not a curated record.
CAGUCAGCAGCUCAGGCCCUCAGGAAGGGGCUGAGCAAACAGUUCAAUAAAAGGUCCAGGCCCUGGGUCAGGGCGGGUCAGCAACCAAUCAGGAG